This 301-nucleotide ribosomal RNA is filed under the name uncultured bacterium. RNAcentral describes it as "partial 16S ribosomal RNA". It matches the Rfam family "Bacterial small subunit ribosomal RNA", at positions 509 to 809 of the family's 1533-position model. The record is from RNAcentral.
CAGUCGCCGCGGUAAAACGUAGGUGGCAAGCGUUGUCCGGGAUUAUUGGGCGUAAAGCGCGCGCAGGCGGAUCAGUCAGUCUGUCUUAAAAGUUCGGGGCUUAACCCCGUGAUGGGAUGGAAACUGCUGAUCUAGAGUAUCGGAGAGGAAAGUGGAAUUCCUAGUGUAGCAGUGAAAUGCGUAGAUAUUAGGAAGAACACCAGUGGCGAAGGCGACUUUCUGGACGAAAACUGACGCUGAGGCGCGAAAGCCAGGGGAGCGAACGGGAUUAGAUACCCCAGUAGUCCCUGUCUCUUAUACA